Molecule: ribosomal RNA, 253 nt
Filed under: uncultured bacterium
Lineage: Bacteria
Description: partial 16S ribosomal RNA
Rfam family: Bacterial small subunit ribosomal RNA
Source: RNAcentral
UACGUAGGGUGCAAGCGUUGUCCGGAAUUAUUGGGCGUAAAGAGCUCGUAGGCGGUCUGUCGCGUCGGCUGUGAAAACCCGGGGCUCAACCCCGGGCCUGCAGUCGAUACGGGCAGACUAGAGUGCGGUAGGGGAGACUGGAAUUCCUGGUGUAGCGGUGAAAUGCGCAGAUAUCAGGAGGGACACCGGUGGCGAAGGCAGGUCUCUGGGCCACUACUGACGCUGAGAAGCGAAAGCAUGGGGAGCGAACAGG